This 424-nucleotide ribosomal RNA is filed under the name uncultured bacterium. RNAcentral's name for it is "bacterial SSU rRNA". It matches the Rfam family "Bacterial small subunit ribosomal RNA", at positions 506 to 929 of the family's 1533-position model. The record is from RNAcentral.
UGCCAGCAGCCGCGGUAAUACGUAGGCAGCGAGCGUUGUUCGGAGUUACUGGGCGUAAAGGGUGUGUAGGCGGUUGUUUAAGUUUGGUGUGAAAUCUCCCGGCUCAACUGGGAGGGUGCGCCGAAUACUGAAUGACUUCGAGUGCGGGAGAGGAAAGUGGAAUUCCUGGUGUAGCGGUGAAAUGCGUAGAUAUCAGGAGGAACACCGGUGGUGUAGACGGCUUUCUGGACCGUAACUGACGCUGAGACACGAAAGCGUGGGUAGCAAACAGGAUUAGAUACCCUGGUAGUCCACGCCCUAAACGAUGCAUAUUUGGUGUGGGCAGUUCAUUCUGUCCGUGCCGGAGCUAACGCGUUAAAUAUGCCGUCUGGGGAGUACAGUCGCAAGGCUGAAACUCAAAGGAAUUGACGGGGGCCCGCACAAG